Molecule: ribosomal RNA, 433 nt
Filed under: uncultured bacterium
Lineage: Bacteria
Description: partial 16S ribosomal RNA
Rfam family: Bacterial small subunit ribosomal RNA
Source: RNAcentral
AACGAACGCUGGCGGCAUGCCUAACACAUGCAAGUCGAACGAGACCUUCGGGUCUAGUGGCGCACGGGUGCGUAACGCGUGGGAACCUGCCCUUAGGUUCGGAAUAACUCAGAGAAAUUUGAGCUAAUACCGGAUAAUGUCUUCGGACCAAAGAUUUAUCGCCUUUGGAUGGGCCCGCGUAGGAUUAGCUUGUUGGUGGGGUAGUGGCCUACCAAGGCGACGAUCCUUAGCUGGUCUGAGAGGAUGAUCAGCCACACUGGGACUGAGACACGGCCCAGACUCCUACGGGAGGCAGCAGUGGGGAAUACUGGACAAUGGGCGAAAGCCUGAUCCAGCAAUGCCGCGUGAGUGAUGAAGGCCUUAGGGUUGUAAAGCUCUUUUACCAGGGAUGAUAAUGACAGUACCUGGAGAAUAAGCUCCGGCUAACUCCGUG